UACACAUCGCCCGUCACUCUCGCCUAGCCAACACCAAGCAAGGGGAGAAAAGUCGUAACACAAUAGGCCUACCGGAAGGUGGGCCUGGAAAAU
RNAcentral lists this ribosomal RNA (93 nucleotides) under Pseudoboletia indiana. RNAcentral describes it as "partial 12S ribosomal RNA". The record is from RNAcentral. Lineage: Eukaryota; Metazoa; Echinodermata; Echinoidea; Temnopleuroida; Toxopneustidae.